This 412-nucleotide long non-coding RNA is filed under the name Rhinopithecus bieti (black snub-nosed monkey). RNAcentral describes it as "lncRNA (ENSRBIG00000046337.1)". Lineage: Eukaryota; Metazoa; Chordata; Mammalia; Primates; Cercopithecidae. The record is from RNAcentral.
UAAAUUUCUAUAAUUCAAAUUCUGGUAUGAUUUGAUCAUUUUUCAAAUAGUUAAAAGGUACUCUCAUGUUUUCAGAUAAAAGUGUACCCUUGUUUCCAAAACGACGUGCUGCUCCUAAAAACAAUGGUCUUUUGAUCAGUUUCUACAUUUUUUCACCUUUGCUCAUUUUAAUUGCUAUUGUCAGUCUUAAAUGGAAUAAAAUGAAGAGAUUUUGGAGCAAAGUGGGAACAGUAAGCAGCAAUAACCAAGUGAUAAAAUCAAAGCCAUCAGAUGAAGAAAGGAUAUUACCAAGAAACUCACCGUUAACUUAAAACUUUCAAUUUCACAAAACAAAAUAAAUCAUAUGACUAAAAGCACACAAGCUUGUGUCUAUUGAUUCUUCUACCCUCCAUGAUCCUUUAGCAGGAAGUGA